GUGCUUGCUUCGGCAGCACAUAUACUAAAAUCGGAAUAAAACAGAGAAGAUUAGCAUGGCCCCUGUGCAAGGAUGACACGCAAAUUCGCGAAGCGUUAAAAAAAAAA
RNAcentral lists this small nuclear RNA (107 nucleotides) under Myotis brandtii (Brandt's bat). The record is from RNAcentral. Lineage: Eukaryota; Metazoa; Chordata; Mammalia; Chiroptera; Vespertilionidae.